CCUAAUUUAGGUAAUUUUUGUGCUUCAUCAGGAGCCUCGGAAAAUCAUCCAGGUCUCUCUGGACACCUAAGAAGCUCUGCUGCGUUCCUAUAAAUGAGUCUUAGGGCAGCACCUCUCAGUUCAAGGGAAGUCCACCCCUCAUGUUUGAUUCGCGCAGGUGCUGUGUUCCUGCCUCUGCUCUACUAUGGUUGGGGUCCUGGAUCUGCACUUGUUCUCCUGUACCCAGGCCCACCCUCACCCUGAGAAUUGGACAUCAGGUCCACUUUUCUGCUUUGGACUCUGCCUAUCUCUUAAGUCAUAGAUUGAACUUGUCUUUCUAUUUCUCUGCUCCUCCCACCCACGCAGGCCUGAUCCUCCAGAAGCCUCUGCAGGUUUUUCCAGCAGUCUCCUCCACCCACCUCACAUAGAGCUGGAUACUCUUACUUCAAAUAUGCCCAUCACUAUGGCAACACAGAUGCUUUGGUGGUUAUACAACAAUCACUUCACCUGGGAAACAGUGCUGAGGGAAAAAAAAAAUGCCAGCCUUUGUAUGGAAAGGUCAUUGGCAAGGCAGAAGGAACUUCAGGUCACCUCUGCUCCAUGGCUCCACCUGCCACAAUCUCCACUAGCCCUUCUGGAACAUUUUUGCUCCUGCCCAUAAGAAAUUUAAGAGAAUGUAAUACAACUUCCAGACUUUGUGCAACAACAUUAUUUGAGAUGAUGGCUGCUCGAAUGACAUCAGUCCUGGAAAGAGGAGAUGAGGAGCAGAGCUCCUUGCAAAUCUACAGUGCAUUUGAAGGUGGAGAGAAAAACAGUCCAUCCAAGUUUGGAGGUUGGUUGUUACUACAGCACAUCCUAGCGUAUCCCAGCUGAACAGUAGGAAUCCAUCAUUCUAGCAAACAGUUACAGACGUGGAGAUGGAAUUCUGGCAUAUGUUCAGGCAGAUAAAAUGCAAGCUCUGUCCCGCCUCUAUUAUAAUCAGAGUCCUUCAUUAAGAUAAAUGGGAAAGGACAGGUUAUUAUGUCUUGAGUUUCCAACCAAGAACUUCAAGGUCACUCAGAACAACUUCUGCAUUUCAUUUACCAUUGUUUUCUUACAAAAUCAACACUGAAGGUGAUUUCUGGGUCUAAUGAAUCUUGGCACAGUUUCUGUGACAUCUUAAACUUUAAUUACAUUUCAAUUAUUUAAUGACAUUUUACAGGACAGAUGUGAGGCUACAAUUCACUCUGUGCAUUACCAAAUCAGGGGAUGUUUGAACCAAAAUGCUUAACUUGGUAACAUAACUGAAAAGGAUUCAUGGAGAGCAGCCCUCCAAAAUUUCAGAAGAAAACACUGUUCUUUUUAAUCAUUUGUCUGUUAAGCCCAAAACACAUUGUAUUUGUUGGGUCUGGAAUUCCACGUUUGGAAGUGUCAUUUCACUUAUAAGCUGUGUUUGUGAGGUCGGGAUUCAAGGACCAAUCGUAUUUUUCCUUGCCCUUUCCACACAUAAAACUUGGAUAAAAUGUACUUUAUGUGCUAUACAAGUGUUCCAUAAAGCCCACCUUCCAUAGACAUGAAAGAUUUAGGAAAUUUG
Molecule: long non-coding RNA, 1552 nt
Organism: Vulpes vulpes (red fox)
Lineage: Eukaryota; Metazoa; Chordata; Mammalia; Carnivora; Canidae
Source: Ensembl